AGUGGGACAAGGCUAGAACAAAGUAAUAUAGAUGGCAAGCUACCAGUUGUUCAAUCCACUGAAGAGAGAGGAGAUCACAUAUAACUGUGUCUAAAGUUCACCAAGCAAUGUAAUGUUCCAAAAGUUUUUUUUCAAGCUGAAGCAACCAAGGAAGAUGUCAAACAUUCAACAGAAUGCCUUGCUGAGCAGUUCUGGUACAUUCAGGAACAGAAUGAACAUGACAUUUGCUGAAACCCUGUGUAGAAAAGUACAACCAACGACCCUUCAGCAGAGAGAGAUUGGCACAAUGACAGAGUCUCACUCUUAGGGGUUCUCACCAAACAGAAGCUGCAGCACUGCCUUCAGACACAAAACAGCAGACAGCCACAAAACAAAGGAACAUCAUGGAAUCUGUUCAAAUAAAACAUCAAACACCCAAUAUGCAAAAAACAAAGAACAAACCGCGUGAACGGCAAAGGACAAGCAAAAGACACAGAAUAUAAAACAUCAAACCACAAAGUCAAUGAAGUUGUCUAGUUUAGUUCAGAUGGUUCCUGAUCUUCAGAGUAUCUCAAGGUUAAAUAAGAUUUUCCCCCUACAAAUGAGCAAUCCUUUGGUGUGUAAACCCCAUGCUGGAAGGAUAUUACCAUCUUAUCUUAUCCACUAUAACUUGACCUACAAGUAGCAUUCAUUGGUUAAAGCCAGCAAAGUUUCCAUCCUCUUGAACCUUUAUCCAACUGUUGCUGAUGCUUUUCAAGACUUGACUGAACCCAAGUUUAUCACUCAUCUGUUGGAAAUGGAAAAGGAAAACAGAUUUUCCUUAAACAUUAGUUUGAUAGUUUGCUGUGCAUCAACCUUUUAAAACAUCCAAGCAUGCUCUGUGCUAUUUGUAGACAAACAGCAACACUCCAAUAGCAUGACUUUUCCUGACACGUGCAAAGAUGCCCUGCUUUCAAAUCUGUUCCAAAUUAGACACCUCCAAGAGAUAUAAUCCCUUCUGUCCAAAGGACAAGCCCUAGGCUUCUUUGAAGAAAACCUUGCCCAAUUAUCACCAGCAUGUAACUUGUUGCAACAGAGGUUCCAACACACUACACCACUGCUACACUACGAUACGGAUUGCUUUUUGUUCCUUCCCGAGACUGCAUUUUGGCAUGUAGGAUCAUUUGGCUGUACUCAUACUUCCUGCAUAAAGACAGAGCCUAAAGACGAGGCUCCAUAGAUCAAGACAACUAAGAGGUGGUCGCAGGAGGCAGAGGAACAGCUACAGGAUUGCCUUGAGUUAGUGGACUGGGCCGUGUUCAAGAACUCAUCUGGGGACCUAAAUGACUAUACCAGGGUCAUAACAGACUUUAUUAACACAGCUGUAGAUGAGUGUCGUCCUCAUGAAAUUGUUCAGGUUUUACCCCAGUCAGAAGCCCUGGAUAAACCAUGAAAUCCAGAACCUGCAGAGAGCCAAAUCAAGGGCAUUCAAGUCUGGAGAUCAAGAACGCGACAAAAAGUGGAGGUGAGAUAUCUGAAAAGUCAUCUCAUGAGCCAAGUGGAGAUUCCAGACUAGACUGGAAUCAACGAGGGAUGCUCCACAGCCCUGCCAGGAAUGCGAUAACUUCUUACAAGGUUAAAUCUUGUGAUAUAGGGGACAGCAGAGCUUUGCUCCAGAUGAGCUCAAUGCCUUCUAUGCUUGCUUUGACCACCCGAACAGGGAGGAUCCUUCGACCCCCCCUCAUGUCUCCCGAUGAUCCUUUGGUCUCAGUAUCUGAAGAUGAUCUGCAGGCUGCCUUCAAGAGAGUAAACCCAAGGAAAGCAUCCGGUCCAGACAGAGCACCUGACCAAGUACUGAAGGUCUGUGCUGACCAACUGACUGGUGUGUUCAUGGACAUCUUCAAGUUCUUCUUCUGGCAGUGUGUGGUUCAUACCUGCUUCAAGUAGGCUUCGAUCAUAUCAAUGCCUAAGAAGAGCAUGGUAACCUGCAUCAAUGACUAUCACCGAGUGGCAUUUACAUCCACAGGGGUGAGGUGUUUUGAAAGGCUAGUCUUGAAGCAUAUCAGUUGUCUGAACGACAACUUGGAUCUGCUCCAACUUGCCUACCAAAGCAACAGGUCCACAGCAGAUGUCAUCUCAUUAUCUCUUCAUACAACCCUGGAACAUCUGGACAGCAAAGGUGCAUACAUCAGCUUUAUCAAUUACAGCUCAGCAUUUAAUACUAUCAUCCCCUCAAAACUAAUCAGUAAACUCCAAGACCCUGGUCUCAAUACCCCCUCGUGCAAUUGGAUCCUGGAUUUCCUCACUUGUAGACCCUAGUCAGUUCGAAUUGGCAAAAGCAUCUCCUCCAAAAUCUCUGUCAGCACAAGUGCACCAGCGGUAUGUGUGUGUAGUCCUCUACUUGCUUUAUACCUAUGCAAACACGAGAAAAUAUGCAGAUGCUGGAAAUUCAAGCAACAUACACAAAAUUAUGGUGGAACACAGCAGGCCAGGCAGCAUCUAUAGGAAGUACAGUCGGUGUUUUGGGCCAAGACCCUUCAUCAUGUGUUGCUUUAUAAUUAUGACUGGGUGGCUGAGUACAGCUCAAACACCAUAUACAAGUUUGCUGUUGACACCACUGUUGUGGGCUGUAUCAGGGGUGGUGAAGAAUAAGCAUGCAGGAGGGAGACUGAAAAUUUGGCUGAGUGGUGUAUUAACAAUAACCUCUCACUCCAUGUCAACAAGGCUACAGAGCUGAUUGUAGACUUCAAGAGAGGGAAACCAGAACCAGUACUAAUCAGAGAAUCAGAGGUGGAGAGGAUCAGUAACUUUAAAUUCCUGGGUGGCACUAUUUCAGAGGAGCUGUCCUGGACAUAUCAAAUAUGAUAUGUCUUUGAUUGCAAAGAAAGCACAACACCACCUCUGCUUCCUCAGGAGUCUGCAGAGAUUCAGCAUGUGACAAACCUAUAUAGUUGUGUGAUGAAACGUGUGUUAGCUGGCUGUGUUACAGCCUGGUAUGGGAACACCAAUGCCUUUGAUCAGGAAAUCCUACAAAAGGUAGUGGAUCUGGCCCAGUGCAUCAUGGGUACAUUCCUCCCAAACGUUGAGCACAUCUACAUGAAAUGUUACCAUAAAAAAGCGGCAUCCAUCAUCAAAGAUCCUCACAACCCAGGCCACACUCUCUUAUCUCAUCAGGUAGAAGGUUUCAAAGGUUUCAGAGGCACAAGAGUCUCAGGACUCACACCAAAAGGUUCAAGAACAGUUACUGCCUCUCAACCAUCAAGCUCUUGACCAUUCUAUUUCUGGUGUUCCCACAACCGAUGGUUUCACUUUAAGGACUCUUUAUCUUGUUAUUUCAUGUUUGUGUUUUUUAUUGCUAUUUAUUACAUCUGCAUAGUUUGUUGUUCAUUGAUCCUGUGUACAUUUACUAUUCGAUAGAUUUGCUAAAUAUGCCUAUAGGAAAGAGUCUCAGGUUGUAUGUGGUGACAUGUAUGUACGCUGAUAAUAAAUUUUACUUUGAA
This is a long non-coding RNA of Hypanus sabinus (Atlantic stingray), 3458 nucleotides long. RefSeq lists it as uncharacterized. The record is from RefSeq and is a predicted model, not a curated record. Lineage: Eukaryota; Metazoa; Chordata; Chondrichthyes; Myliobatiformes; Dasyatidae. The transcript has 6 exons.